Molecule: non-coding RNA, 1287 nt
Organism: Python bivittatus (Burmese python)
Lineage: Eukaryota; Metazoa; Chordata; Lepidosauria; Squamata; Pythonidae
Source: RefSeq, a predicted model, not a curated record
UUGCCUCACCGUGCCAGGCUGCGGGUGGGAGGCUCCCCGCUGGGCCCCCGACGGCCCGCCUAGCCAAGGCGGCGUGCUUUGGGCUGCCAGGUUGGCGCGGCAGCUCCCGGAGGAGGCGUAACGGAGUGAGCGUGGUCAGCGUGGCGCCCGGGGAGGCAGAGCGGGAGCCUCCCUAGAGCAGGGGCAGGCUGGGCCCUGUCCUGGUGGCAGGGCCUGGCCCAGCAGAGCUCCCCGGUGGAAGUGCGAGGGAAUGGGACGGCUUGAAAUCAGGGCAGCAUCUUUCAAAGCAAGAGCUAUUCCAACGGUGCACCUCUCCGUGAAAUAGCCUUGGCCUGAGAAGGUUGUGCGAAGAGGCACCUCCAAGGGAACGGCCAAGCCGGGGUCUCCCGCAGAAAGAUCCCUCUUCCUGCUCCCCGAAGGUCUCUUCCUCUCUUGCCCCCCAGCUGCGAGAACCUACCCCCCUUCUGCACCAUGUCGCUGGAAGGACGGCUGCGCUGCCGAAGGAGGAGCGUCACAGGCCUCGUCUGCCCCUUCCACUUCGCUGCCCCCAAAAGCCCUCGGCUCAGGCCCUCGGCCGGGGCUGCUCUCAGAUCAGGCCUUCGACUCUCCUCUGUCUCUCUCUUCAAGGUGGCCCUCCUUAGCGUAGUGGCUGGAGAGGUCGAGCCUGGGUGUUCUCUGCUUCUACGACAUGCAGGUAGACUGCCUUUGAGCAAGGGUGCUUGGUCCUUCCAAGCACCCGAGUUUAUUUUCGUUGUUCGCUGAUGAGGCCGCUGAAUCCCUUCAGUCCUGGCUGACCCUAAGCUGCGUAUAGAGAAAUCGAUGGGUAACGCAGUGACAAAGGUGAACAAGGAACACGGGUGCCAGCAUAGCAGCACCCUCAGCAGGCGCUCCCUCCUGGUGGGCAUUCUGGGCGACUUCACUUCUCCCAGGCCAGCUCCAGAGCCUGCGCCACGGUGGGCUCUACAGGGGACGCCCGGUGCCCAGUGCGUGCUUGGAGAGGAGUCAGCAGGCAGGGCAGCUCCGGGAAGGAGACUCAGUACGACCUCAGCAGGCCCGGCCCAGGGCGGCCAGGACCAGCAGCUGCAACUGCUCCCUCAGAAAGGAGCCCCCCCCUACCCUCGGGGUGACCCUGAAGGCUACCGCGGUCAACCGUAUCAGAGGCCAUGGAGAGGUCUGGUGGGUCGGCCGUGCUCAUCUGUGAGAGCGAGGGGCCCAGGUUGAGCAAUGCCAAUCUAGAGAAUUUGUUUUCCACCGAGUCCUCUGCAGCUGCGGUUGCACCGCCUUCGU